UCCCUGGUGGUCUAGUGGUUAGGAUUCAGCACUCUCACUGCUGCGGCUCGGGUUUGAUUCCUGUUCAGGGAA
This is a non-coding RNA of Pelobates cultripes (western spadefoot toad), 72 nucleotides long. The record is from the annotation of a GenBank genome assembly. Lineage: Eukaryota; Metazoa; Chordata; Amphibia; Anura; Pelobatidae.